AUAAGUUUAGUUAUGAUAUAUAUUUCAAGAAAUUUGGUAUCUAGUUUUUUUAGAAGAUGAGUUUAGUAGGAAAUCUUAAAGAAAAAAAGCAGGGAUUAGCUUGUUUUAUUUAUAUGUUAAAGAAAAAAAUUUAUUUUGGGUAGGAUUGAUAUUGCCUAAUAUAAAUAUAUAUUUAUAAUAAAAAAUUAUGGAAUAAAAUUUGAUUUUUUAUUAAAAUUGUUUAUUAUAUAAAAAAUUUUUAUAAAAUUUUAAUUUAAAGGUUAUAAUGAGAUAAUUAGUAAAGUUUAAUUUUAUUUAAGGAAGUAAAUUUUGUUUAAUUAAUGGAAAUGAAUUCGGCAAAAUAUUUUUUUGACUGUUUACCAAAAACAUUGUUUCAUGAUGAUAUAUGAAAUAAUGUCUGUCCACUGACUUAUUUUUGAAGGACUGCAGUAUUUUGACUGUGUGAAGGAAGCAUAAUCAUUACCUUUUUAUUUUGGGGUUGGUAUGAAGGUGAACCAAAGAGAUUCUUAAUUUUAAUUAAUAUUUUGAAUUUAAUUUUUGAGUGAAAAAUCUUAUUUGUUUGAGUGGGACAAAAAAACCCUAAUGAAUUUCAUUGCUAUUAUUAUUAUAUAAAAGGAUAUAAUUAGGUGAUAUGAUUUUAAUAAUUUACUUGGGGCGAUGGGUUUUAUAACAUUAUUAGGGUUUAAUUUUU
This 691-nucleotide ribosomal RNA is filed under the name Polydesmus vietnamicus. RNAcentral's name for it is "partial large subunit ribosomal RNA". Lineage: Eukaryota; Metazoa; Arthropoda; Diplopoda; Polydesmida; Polydesmidae. The record is from RNAcentral.